Long non-coding RNA from Beta vulgaris subsp. vulgaris (sugar beet), 841 nucleotides. RefSeq lists it as uncharacterized. The transcript is spliced from 3 exons. The record is from RefSeq and is a predicted model, not a curated record. Lineage: Eukaryota; Viridiplantae; Streptophyta; Magnoliopsida; Caryophyllales; Amaranthaceae.
UACUAGUGCACCACCCACCCCCUUUAACGCGGCAACGUGCAUACUCGCUCCUUCAAGAACACCUGAAAUCUCAAAAACAUGGCCUGCAAUUAUCUUACCCAAUCCCAUUGCUUCUUUCUUUUUUCCUAGUAAUAAUUAUCCUUCUCAAUGAUCAAGCUUUACCUUACAAGUUUUAUAUAAAGCAAAAAAAAAGGCUAAAUACAGAAAACUUAUUAAAAAGACUAACUUACCCUUUUUAAAAUUUAACCCACCUAAAACAAAUUACCAACCCUCACCCACACCCUCACCCUCAUCCUCACGCAAAACAAAUUUACUUCCUCGUCUUUUAAAGUCGAAACUUGAGAAAACGCCAUUGACGAUCAAAAUUCGAAGCUCCAAUUCCAGAAUGAUUGACAUUGGCUGUUUUAAUACUCCUCCUCACCUGUGAAUCUGCAGCAGCGUUCGCGAGACGACAGUGGUGCCGCGCCGACACACGCGACGACCCACCCUCCUCUUCGUGCGAUGCAACGACCACCAUCAUCUACCACAUAAGGAAAAUAAUUGAGAGAAGAAAUGAAGGGAAAGGAAGUAGAGAAGAAGAAGAAGGAAGCUGGAGCUAGAAUGGCAUUCCGAUAACCAGAGCACGACGCCGAUUCGGGUCGCCAGAACUCCAGUGUCGUUGGUGGGUUCGUUUGGGUCAGCAUUUUCUCUCUCUAUAUUUCCUUUUCUUUUUUUUUGCUGAACAGAUUCGAAUUUGCGAGAAAUUCAGAGUAUAUGUAUGGCUGUAGAGAAAAAGAAUGGUAGUGUGUGUCAAUGUAUGGAGAAUUUUGGCGGUUUGUACUGUUGAUGGGUUGUUUACAUA